AGCGAACGCUGGCGGCAGGCCUAACACAUGCAAGUCGAACGAACCUUUCGGGGUUAGUGGCGGACGGGUGAGUAACACGUGGGAACGUGCCUUUAGGUUCGGAAUAACUCAGGGAAACUUGUGCUAAUACCGAAUGUGCCCUUCGGGGGAAAGAUUUAUCGCCUUUCGAGCGGCCCGCGUCUGAUUAGCUAGUUGGUUGAGGUAAUGGCUCACCAAGGCGGCGAUCAGUAGCUGGUCUGAGAGGAGGUUCAGCCACAUUGGGACUGAGACACGGCCCAAACUCCUACGGGAGGAAGAAGGGGGGAAUCUGGAGCAAUGGGCGAAAGCCGAACGCAGCCAUGCCGCGUGAAUGAGGAAGGUCUUAGGAUGGAAAAAUUCUUUAACCGGGGACGAUAAGGACGGUACCAAGAGAAAAAGCCCCGGCGAACUGCGU
This 433-nucleotide ribosomal RNA is filed under the name uncultured bacterium. RNAcentral describes it as "partial 16S ribosomal RNA". It matches the Rfam family "Bacterial small subunit ribosomal RNA", at positions 29 to 506 of the family's 1533-position model. The record is from RNAcentral.